This 254-nucleotide ribosomal RNA is filed under the name uncultured bacterium. RNAcentral describes it as "partial 16S ribosomal RNA". It matches the Rfam family "Bacterial small subunit ribosomal RNA", at positions 524 to 776 of the family's 1533-position model. The record is from RNAcentral.
UACAGAGGGUGCUAGCGUUGUUCGGAAUUAUUGGGCGUAAAGGGCGCGUAGGCGGCCCUGUGUGUCGGGUGUGAAAGCCCACCUCUUAAAGGUGGAAUUGCAUUCGAAACUACAGGGCUGGAGUGUCGGAGAGGAUGGCGGAAUUCCGUGGUGUAGAGGUGAAAUUCGUAGAUAUCAGGAGGAACACCGGUGGCGAAGGCGGCCAUCUGGACGACAACUGACGCUGAGGCGCGAAAGCGUGGGGAUCAAACAGG